CAAUAGCGUAUAUUUAAGUUGCUGCAGUUAAAAAGCUCGUAGUUGGAUUUCGGGUGGGAAUGGCCGGUCCGCCGUUUCGGUGUGCACUUGCUACGCCCACCUUGCUGCCGGGGACGUGCUCUUGAGUUCACGCUCGGGACACGGAGUCGGCGAGGUUACUUUGAGUAAAUUAGAGUGUUCAAAGCAGGCCUACGCUCUGAAUACAUUAGCAUGGAAUAACACGAUAGGACUCUGGCCUAUCUUGUUGGUCUGUAGGACCGGAGUAAUGGUUAAGAGGGACAGUCGGGGGCAUUCGUAUUUCAUUGUCAGGGGUGAAAUUCUUGGAUUUAUGAAAGACGAACUACUGCGAAAGCAUUUGCCAAGGAUGUUUUCAUUAA
Molecule: ribosomal RNA, 377 nt
Filed under: uncultured eukaryote
Lineage: Eukaryota
Description: partial 18S ribosomal RNA
Rfam family: Eukaryotic small subunit ribosomal RNA
Source: RNAcentral